ACGGGGUGCACCNGGCGCGAAACCUCCGCAAUACACGAAAGUGUGACGGGGUUACCCAAAGUGUUCAAUUUUGAACUGUGGUAGGUGAGUAAUGUUCCCUACUAGAAAGGAGAGGGCAAGGCUGGUGCCAGCCGCCGCGGUAAAACCAGCUCUUCAAGUGGUCGGGAUAAUUAUUGGGCUUAAAGUGUCCGUAGCCGGUUUAGUAAGUUCCUGGUAAAAUCGGGUAGCUUAACUAUCUAUAUGCUAGGAAUACUACUAUACUAGAGGGCGGGAGAGGUCUGAGGUACUACAGGGGUAGGGGUGAAAUCUUAUAAUCCUUGUAGGACCACCAGUGGCGAAGGCGUCAGACUGGAACGCGCCUGACGGUGAGGGACGAAAGCCAGGGGAGCGAACCGGAUUAGAUACCCGGGUAGUCCUGGCCGUAAACGAUGCAUACUAGGUGACGGCACGGCCAUGAGCCAUGUCAGUGCCGUAGGGAAACCGUUAAGUGUGCCGCCUGGGAAGUACGGUCGCAAGGCUAAAACUUAAAGGAAUUGGCGGGGGAGCAC
Molecule: ribosomal RNA, 548 nt
Filed under: uncultured crenarchaeote
Lineage: Archaea; Thermoproteati; Thermoproteota
Description: bacterial SSU rRNA
Rfam family: Archaeal small subunit ribosomal RNA
Source: RNAcentral